AGUGAACGCUGGCGGUAGGCCUAACACAUGCAAGUCGAACGGCAGCACAGUAAGAGCUUGCUCUUACGGGUGGCGAGUGGCGGACGGGUGAGGAAUACAUCGGAAUCUACUUUUUCGUGGGGGAUAACGUAGGGAAACUUACGCUAAUACCGCAUACGACCUACGGGUGAAAGCAGGGGAUCUUCGGACCUUGCGCGAUUGAAUGAGCCGAUGUCGGAUUAGCUAGUUGGCGGGGUAAAGGCCCACCAAGGCGACGAUCCGUAGCUGGUCUGAGAGGAUGAUCACCCACACUGGAAGUGAGACACGGUCCAGACUCCUACGGGAGGCAGCAGUGGGGAAUAUUGGACAAUGGGCUCAAGCCUAAUCCAGCCAUACCGCGUGGGUGAAGAAGGCCUUCGGGUUGUAAAGCCCUUUUGUUGGGAAAGAAAAGCAGCAGGUUAAUACCCCGCUGUUCUGACGGUACCCAAAGAAUAAGCACCGGCUAACUUCGUG
Molecule: ribosomal RNA, 492 nt
Filed under: uncultured bacterium
Lineage: Bacteria
Description: partial 16S ribosomal RNA
Rfam family: Bacterial small subunit ribosomal RNA
Source: RNAcentral